This 390-nucleotide ribosomal RNA is filed under the name uncultured bacterium. RNAcentral's name for it is "bacterial SSU rRNA". It matches the Rfam family "Bacterial small subunit ribosomal RNA", at positions 775 to 1163 of the family's 1533-position model. The record is from RNAcentral.
AGUAAAUAGAUACCCGGGUAGUCCACGCCGUAAACGAUGAGUACUAGGUGUAGGAGGUAUCGACUCCUUCUGUGCCGCAGUUAAACACAAUAAGUACUCCGCCUGGGAAGUACGGUCGCAAGAUUAAAACUCAAAGGAAUUGACGGGGCCCGCACAAGCAGCGGAGCAUGUGGUUUAAAUUCGAAGCAACGCGAAGAACCUUACCUAGACUUGACAUCUCCUGAAUAGUGUAGAGAUACAUGAAGCCCUUCGGGGCAGGAAGACAGGUGGUGCAUGGUUGUCGUCAGCUCGUGUCGUGAGAUGUUGGGUUAAGUCCCGCAACGAGCGCAACCCUUAUUACUAGUUGCUACCAUUAAGUUGAGCACUCUAGUGAGACUGCCCGGGUUAACC